AGAGAGAGAGAGUGAGCACACAAGCAGGGGGAGCAGGAGAAGGAGGAGCAGGAUCGUUGCUGAGCACAGACCCCAAUAGGGAGCUCAAGACCAAGACCCUGGGAUCCUGUCCUCAACUGAAAGCCGACACCCAACAGAAUGACUACCCAGAUCCCUCAUGCCAGAAGAUCAACAAAG
This 177-nucleotide long non-coding RNA is filed under the name Mustela putorius furo (domestic ferret). RNAcentral describes it as "lncRNA (ENSMPUG00000031653.1)". Lineage: Eukaryota; Metazoa; Chordata; Mammalia; Carnivora; Mustelidae. The record is from RNAcentral.